This 468-nucleotide ribosomal RNA is filed under the name uncultured bacterium. Its description in RNAcentral is "partial 16S ribosomal RNA". It matches the Rfam family "Bacterial small subunit ribosomal RNA", at positions 28 to 507 of the family's 1533-position model. The record is from RNAcentral.
GACGAACGCUGGCGGCGUGCUUAACACAUGCAAGUCGAACGGAAAGGCCCGGCCUUGGUGUGGUGCUCGAGUGGCGAACGGGUGAGUAACACGUGAGUAACCUGCCCUUGACUUUGGGAUAACUUCAGGAAACGGGGGCUAAUACCGGAUAGGAGCUGCUGCUGCAUGGUGGGGGGCGGAAAGGUACGGCGGUUGGGGAUGGACUCGCGGCCUAUCAGCUUGUUGGUGGGGUAGUGGCUUACCAAGGCGUUGACGGGUAGCCGGCCUGAGAGGGUGACCGGCCACACUGGGACUGAGACACGGCCCAGACUCCUACGGGAGGCAGCAGUGGGGAAUAUUGCACAAUGGGCGGAAGCCUGAUGCAGCAACGCCGCGUGCGGGAUGACGGCCUUCGGGUUGUAAACCGCUUUCGGCUGUGAAGAAGCGAGAGUGACGGUACUGGGAAAAGAAGCACCGGCUAACUACGUG